UGGGGAAUAUUGGACAAUGGGCGCAAGCCUGAUCCAGCCAUGCCGCGUGGGUGAAGAAGGCCUUCGGGUUGUAAAGCCCUUUUGUUGGGAAAGAAAUCCUGUCGGCUAAUACCCGGCGGGGAUGACGGUACCCAAAGAAUAAGCACCGGCUAACUUCGUGCCAGCAGCCGCGGGAAUACGAAGGGUGCAAGCGUUACUCGGAAUUACUGGGCGUAAAGCGUGCGUAGUCGGUUCGUUAAGUCUGUCGUGAAAGCCCUGGGCUCAACCGUGGAAUUGCGAUGGAUACUGGCGGGCUAGAGUACAUUAGAGGAAGGUGGAAUUCCGGGUGUAGCGGUGAAAUGCGUAGAGAUCGGGAGGAACACCCGUGGCGAAGGCGGCCAUCUGGACCAGUACUGACGCUGAGGCGCGAAAGCGUGGGGAGCAAACA
RNAcentral lists this ribosomal RNA (427 nucleotides) under uncultured bacterium. RNAcentral describes it as "bacterial SSU rRNA". It matches the Rfam family "Bacterial small subunit ribosomal RNA", at positions 355 to 774 of the family's 1533-position model. The record is from RNAcentral.